Paramacrobiotus metropolitanus is the source of this 539-nucleotide long non-coding RNA. RefSeq lists it as uncharacterized. The record is from RefSeq and is a predicted model, not a curated record. NCBI's taxonomy places the organism in Eukaryota, Metazoa, Tardigrada, Eutardigrada, Parachela, Macrobiotidae. The transcript is spliced from 3 exons.
ACAAACAGUCUUUGACUUUCUAAAAUCCACGUUUCUAAUUUAAAUUUUGCAUCACCAUCUCCAGUUUUUUAUUAUAUGGCUGUCGACAGCCAGAUUAAUGUUCAGCAUUAACGUGAACAGUGCAACUGUUUGCAUUUCAUGCCUUGAAGCUGCCAAGCGCAGCACUUUAUGGAAAUGUGCGCAAGACCUGGGCUCGUCUGCAAUGCUGUGAAGAUCUGAGGAGUUUUGUGCGGAUUCUUCGGAUUUUGGAAAAUGUUGCCCAACAGGAUAACUGUGCAUGACGACAUGCAGUAGGACAGCAGGAUCAAUGAGUGAUUGCGUCGGCUUCCCAAAAGCAGAUUUGCCGUGCGAUGCAUGGAUGUCGACAUCCAAAACUGAAUGCAGAAUGCCUGGCUAGUGCUACCUUUUUUAGGAUCUCAUACUGAGCUGUUCAGGCUUUUUAAUUCAUAGAAUAUCGGGUUCUGCGUGAUAACUGUGUUACGGAUCGUGUUUUCAUUGCUAAUGGCAUCGUCGCUGUGUUUUAGACAAGCUCGCUGUUA